RNAcentral lists this ribosomal RNA (927 nucleotides) under Halichoanolaimus dolichurus. Its description in RNAcentral is "SSU rRNA". It matches the Rfam family "Eukaryotic small subunit ribosomal RNA", at positions 88 to 1020 of the family's 1831-position model. The record is from RNAcentral. Lineage: Eukaryota; Metazoa; Nematoda; Chromadorea; Chromadorida; Selachinematidae.
CGCGAAUGGCUCAUUACAACAGCCUUGGUUUAUUGGAUCUGACUAUCCACUUGGAUAACUGUGGUAAUUCUAGAGCUAAUACACGCUUUCAAGCUCCAACCUAUCAGAAGGAGUGCAUUUAUUAGAACAAAACCAAUCGGCUUCGGCCGUUACUUGGUGAAUCUGAAUAACUCUGCUGAUCGCACAGUCUUUGUACUGGCGACAAAUCUUUCAAGUGUCUGCCUUAUCAACUUUCGAUGGUAGUUUAUACGACUACCAUGGUUCUCACGGGUAACGGAGAAUUAGGGUUCGACUCCGGAGAGGGAGCCUGAGAAAUGGCUACCACAUCCAAGGAAGGCAGCAGGCGCGCAAAUUACCCACUCUCGGCACGAGAAGGUAGUGACGAAAAAUAACGAGAUGGUUCUCUCAGAGGUCCAUCAUCGGAAUGGGUCCAAUCUAAACCCUUUAACGAGGAUCCAUUGGAGGACAAGUCUGGUACCAGCAGCCGCGGUAAUUCCAGCUCCAAUAGCGUAUAUUAAAGUUGUUGCGGUUAAAAAGCUCGUAGUUGGAUCUGCGGUCUUGGACUCUGGUCCCCCACUGGGUGUGUACUAGUUGUCCAGACCUAACUAGCUGGUUUUCUCAUGGUCCUCUUGAUUGAGUGGCCUUGAGUAGCUAGCACGUUUACUUUGAAAAAAUUAGAGUGCUCAAAGCAGGCAAAUGCCUGAAUAGUGGUGCAUGGAAUAAUGGAAUAGGACCUCGGUUCUAUUUUGUUGGUUUUCGGAGCACGAGGUAAUGAUUAAGAGGAACAGACGGGGGCAUUCGUAUUGCGGCGUUAGAAGUGAAAUUCUUGGAUCGCCGCAAGACGGACAACUGCGAAAGCAUUUGCCAAGAAUGUUUUCAUUAAUCAAGAACGAAAGUUAGAGGUUCAAAGGCGAUCAGAUACCGCCC